RNAcentral lists this non-coding RNA (21 nucleotides) under Caenorhabditis elegans. Lineage: Eukaryota; Metazoa; Nematoda; Chromadorea; Rhabditida; Rhabditidae. The record is from RNAcentral.
UCAAUAUGACAAGAACACUUA